AACAACUGUUUGUACUAUUGGUGUGCGAUACUGCAAUAUUUGGUAUCAAUCCGAUACCAAGUAAAUACAGGGCCAAUAUUGCUGAUACUGAUUAUUUUCAAUAAUUAAGGGGGAUGAAUUUUCAUAACCUUUAGCCUAAGUGUUUUGUGAUUUUACAUUUGGAUUAUAAGUUAAAACCAUGGACAGCAUUUUCAUAUGCUUGUUUAAAUUUGUUGUGUUAUCAC
Long non-coding RNA from Etheostoma spectabile (orangethroat darter), 224 nucleotides. RefSeq lists it as uncharacterized. The transcript has 3 exons. The record is from RefSeq and is a predicted model, not a curated record. Lineage: Eukaryota; Metazoa; Chordata; Actinopteri; Perciformes; Percidae.